This 433-nucleotide ribosomal RNA is filed under the name uncultured bacterium. RNAcentral's name for it is "partial 16S ribosomal RNA". It matches the Rfam family "Bacterial small subunit ribosomal RNA", at positions 29 to 507 of the family's 1533-position model. The record is from RNAcentral.
AACGAACGCUGGCGGCAUGCCUAACACAUGCAAGUCGAACGAGACCUCCGGGCCUAGGGGCGCACCGGUGCGUAAGGCCGGGGGACCAGCCCUUAGGUACGCAACAACUCCCCGAGAGGGGUGCUAAUACCGGAUAAUGUCUUCCGGCCAAAGAUUUAUCGCCUUUGGGUGGGCCCGCGUUGGAUUAGCUAGUUGGUAGGGUACAAGCCUGUCAUGGCGACGAUCCAUAGCUGGUCUGAGAGGAUGAUCAGCCACACUUGGACUGAGACACGGCCCAGUCUCCUACGGGAGGCAGCAGUGUGUAAUAUUGGGCACUGGGCGAAAGCCUAGUCCAGCAGUGCCGCGUGAGUGAUGAAGGCCUUAGGGUUGUAAAGCUCUUUUACCCGAGAUGAUAAUGACAGUACCGGGUGAAUAAGCACCGGCUAACUCCGUG